UACAGAGGGUGCAAGCGUUAAUCGGAAUUAUUGGGCGUAAAGGGCUUGUAGGUGGUUAUAUAAGUUAGAUGUGAAAACCCUGGGCUUAACCUGGGACGUGCAUAUAAUACUGUAUAGCUAGAGUAGAGCAGAGGAGUGGGGAAUUCCUGGUGUAGCAGUGAAAUGCGUAGAGAUCAGGAGGAACAUCAGUGGCGAAGGCGCCACUCUGGGCUCAUACUGACACUGAGGAGCGAAGGCGUGGGGAUCAAACAGG
This 253-nucleotide ribosomal RNA is filed under the name uncultured bacterium. Its description in RNAcentral is "partial 16S ribosomal RNA". It matches the Rfam family "Bacterial small subunit ribosomal RNA", at positions 524 to 776 of the family's 1533-position model. The record is from RNAcentral.